CAAUUUUGCUUGUACAAACAUGAAACGACGGGACCCACGGGUUGGUGGUGAGGCGGCCUUUAGCCCCCUCCCCCGUCAGCUUGACGUCUCCUCGAGUAUUCUUACUUUAAUCAUUUUUAAGAACAUUAUUUUGUCUAAGGAAAAUUUGGACGUAAUCUUUUUUCCAUCUGGGACUCGCUCCAAUGCAUCGUCGCCCAUCGAAAGGACGGAGAAGAGAGACAAUUUUAGGGUUUUUCCAUCUACCACGCGCCUCCCAUGGGAACAGAAAAUAAAGGCUAAUAUCUUUUGUUUCCUUAUAAAAGAGAGAGAGAGUUGCUCAUUAAUAUGACAACCCUCAAAAUUAUUUUGAUCGACACCCAUCUCUUCCUUAUGUGGAUUCUCUCUCUCUCUCUCUCUCUCUCUGUACGAGGGUUGCGCUCGAGCUUGGUGUAAAUGAGGAGAUCAACAGACAGCAGGAAUGAGAACGGAAGGGGGAGAUAGACAAUUGAAGGUUGGAUGGAGAGAGAUGGGAGUGGAGAAGUGUGGCAAAAGAUGAAGAGACUUGAAGAUGUUGGCGCGCCUCAAACUAAUGGCGUGGUUAGAAAUUGACUCUUCUUCAUCCCUAACCCCACCUUAUUGGCUUGAGCCGCGUCAAUAUCUCCUUCUUUCCACACACCUCUCUCUCUCUCUCUCUCUCUCUCUCGCAAAAGCUAGUUCUCCUUCUAUGUGAUCCAUACAAUCACAGAAAUAUUCUAAUGGACGGCAACCACGACAGAGAAAAUCUUUCAGUUGGCAGUGGUUUCCACAGUUACCCAUUUCUUGUAUAUGUACCAGUGCUCACCUCGAAGUGCUCUUGAAGGAAAUAUGUAAUUUAAUUUGGUUUUCCCUCUAGAAGAUGUAAAUAUACGAGGGUUUUGCUGA
This is a long non-coding RNA of Syzygium oleosum, 900 nucleotides long. RefSeq lists it as uncharacterized. NCBI's taxonomy places the organism in Eukaryota, Viridiplantae, Streptophyta, Magnoliopsida, Myrtales, Myrtaceae. The record is from RefSeq and is a predicted model, not a curated record. The transcript is spliced from 2 exons.